UAGGGAAUCUUCCACAAUGGACGCAAGUCUGAUGGAGCAACGCCGCGUGAGUGAAGAAGGUUUUCGGACCGUAAAGCUCUGUUGUUGGUGAAGAAGGAUAGAGGUAGUAACUGGCCUUUAUUUGACGGUAAUCAACCAGAAAGUCACGGCUAACUACGUGCCAGCAGCCGCGGUAAUACGUAGGUGGCAAGCGUUGUCCGGAUUUAUUGGGCGUAAAGCGAGCGCAGGCGGAAGAAUAAGUCUGAUGUGAAAGCCCUCGGCUUAACCGAGGAAUUGCAUCGGAAACUGUUUUUCUGAGUGCAGAAGAGGAGAGUAGAACUCCAUGUGUAGCGGUGGAAUGCGUAGAUAUAUGGAAGAAUACCAGUGGCGAAGGCGGCUCUCUGGUCUGCAACUGACGCUGAGGCUCGAAAGCAUGGUAGCGAACAGGAUUAGAUACCCUUGGUAG
This 445-nucleotide ribosomal RNA is filed under the name uncultured bacterium. RNAcentral describes it as "partial 16S ribosomal RNA". It matches the Rfam family "Bacterial small subunit ribosomal RNA", at positions 355 to 793 of the family's 1533-position model. The record is from RNAcentral.